Esox lucius (northern pike) is the source of this 556-nucleotide long non-coding RNA. The record is from Ensembl. Lineage: Eukaryota; Metazoa; Chordata; Actinopteri; Esociformes; Esocidae.
GGUUGACUACCCUACGCCACUUCCCGACGGGGACGGUGGAGAGUUGCGAGUUAGAGUCUCGGCAACCAGUCGGGUUAGAGGCCCGAGGACUUAGGGGCACCUCGAAGUAUUUAUUGUGUGUAAAGGUUCAUCUGGGUUAGAGUCCCGGGGAGUUUUAGAACUCCCCAAAUUCUGUAUCUGGGUUAGAGUCCCGGGGAGUUUUAGAACUCCCCAAAUUCUGUAUCUGGGUUAGAGUCCCGGGGAGUUUUGGAACUCCCCAAAUUCUGUAUCUGGGUUAGAGUCCCGGGGAGUUUUAUAACUCCCCAAAUUCUGUAUUGGGUUAGAGUCCCGGGGAGGUUUAGAACUCCCCAAAUUCUGUAUUGGGUUAGAGUCCCGGGGAGUUUUAGAACUCCCCAAAUUCUGUAUCUGGGUUAGAGUCCCGGGGAGUUUUAUAACUCUCCAAAUUCUGUAUUGGGUUAGAGUCCCGGGGAGUUUUAUAACUCCCCAAAUUCUGUAUCUGGGUUAGAGUCCCGGGGAGUUUUAGAACUCCCCAAAUUCUGUAUCUGGGUUAGAGUCC